RNAcentral lists this ribosomal RNA (439 nucleotides) under Prorhynchus stagnalis. RNAcentral's name for it is "partial 16S ribosomal RNA". It matches the Rfam family "Bacterial large subunit ribosomal RNA", at positions 1891 to 2600 of the family's 2925-position model. Lineage: Eukaryota; Metazoa; Platyhelminthes; Prorhynchida; Prorhynchidae. The record is from RNAcentral.
UUCUUAUUGUCUUAUAUUGUAGGUAGCCCCUGCCCAAUGCUUCUGUAAAUGGCCGCAGUAUACCUAACUGUGCUAAGGUAGCAUAAUUACUUGUCAUUUAAUUAAUGUCUUGUUUGAAAGGGUGAGUAUUUGAUGAGGGUAAGUAUUGUUUUUCCUUCUUUUUGAAAUUUUAAUUCUUUUAAAAAUAAAGGAGUUAUUAAAAAAGACGAGAAGACCCUAAGAGCUUAAAAUUUUUAUUUUUGAAUGGGGCAUUUUGACUAUCAGCUAGUUGUUUUCGAACUUUUUAAGAGAAAAGGUAAAGUUACCUUAGGGAUAACAGUGUAAUCUUUUUUGAGAGCUCGUAUUGAGAAAAUGGUUUGCUACCUCGAUGUUGAAUCAAAAUUACUAAGUGGUUGUAGGGGCUACAAUAGUGUGUCUGUUCGACAUUUAAAAUUUUACG